RNAcentral lists this long non-coding RNA (376 nucleotides) under Vitis vinifera (wine grape). RNAcentral's name for it is "long non-coding RNA (VVIN_LNC001753)". The record is from RNAcentral. Lineage: Eukaryota; Viridiplantae; Streptophyta; Magnoliopsida; Vitales; Vitaceae.
GCCACAUCCAUGAGACCCGUGAGUGGAUCCUACGUAACUCUGCUGUACCAGUGGGGACAGUUCCCAUCUAUCAAGCACUUGAAAAAGUGAAUGGAAUUGCUGAAGAUCUUACCUGGGAAGUAUUCAGAGACACCCUGAUUGAACAAGCUGAGCAGGGGGUUGAUUACUUCACAAUACAUGCUGGAGUUCUGCUUCGUUAUAUUCCAUUAACAGCAAAUCGCAUGACUGGAAUUGUCUCUCGUGGAGGAUCAAUUCAUGCAAAAUGGUGCUUAGCUUAUCAUAAGGAGAACUUUGCAUAUGAGCACUGGGAUGAAAUACUUGACAUCUGUAAUCAAUAUGACAUCUCGUUGUCAAUAGGUGAUGGGCUCAGACCCGG